GUGACCGUAGCUCAGCUGGUUAGAGCGCCAGAUUGUGGCUCUGGAGGUCGGGGGUUCGAAUCCCCUCGGUCACC
RNAcentral lists this transfer RNA (74 nucleotides) under Acidimicrobium ferrooxidans DSM 10331. It matches the Rfam family "tRNA". From Rfam's summary of the family: Transfer RNA (tRNA) molecules are approximately 80 nucleotides in length. Their secondary structure includes four short double-helical elements and three loops (D, anti-codon, and T loops). Lineage: Bacteria; Bacillati; Actinomycetota; Acidimicrobiia; Acidimicrobiales; Acidimicrobiaceae. The record is from Rfam by way of RNAcentral.